CGUGCAGUCGAGCGCGAAUAGGGGCAACCCUUAGUAGAGCGGCGCACGGGUGCGUAACACGUGGAUAAUCUGCCUGGAUGCCUGGGAUAACCAGUCGAAAGAUUGGCUAAUACCGGAUAAGCCCACGGUCUCUUCGGAGGCUGAGGGAAAAGGUGGCCUCUGUAUACAAGCUAUCACAACCAGAUGAGUCCGCGGCCCAUCAGCUAGUUGGCGGGGUAAUGGCCCACCAAGGCGACGACGGGUAGCUGGUCUGAGAGGACGAUCAGCCACACUGGAACUGAGACACGGUCCAGACUCCUACGGGAGGCAGCAGUGGGGAAUUUUGCGCAAUGGGCGAAAGCCUGACGCAGCAACGCCGCGUGUGUGAUGAAGGUCUUUGGAUUGUAAAGCACUUUCGACCGGGACGAAACCGUAAAGCCUAAUACGCUUUGCCUUGACGGUACCGGGAGAAGAAGCACCGGCUAACUCUGUGCCAGCAGCCGCGGUAAUACAGAGGGUGCAAGCGUUGUUCGGAAUUAUUGGGCGUAAAGCGCGUGUAGGCGGCUUUGCAAGUCGGGUGUGAAAGCCCUCAGCUCAACUGAGGAAGUGCGCCCGAAACUGCAGAGCUUGAGUGCCGGAGAGGGUGGCGGAAUUCCCCAAGUAGAGGUGAAAUUCGUAGAUAUGGGGAGGAACACCGGUGGCGAAGGCGGCCACCUGGACGGUAACUGACGCUGAGACGCGAAAGCGUGGUAGCAACAGGAUUAGAUACCCUGGGUAGUCCACGCCGUAAACGAUGAGAACUAGGUGUCGUGGGAGUUGAC
RNAcentral lists this ribosomal RNA (800 nucleotides) under Corallococcus coralloides. RNAcentral describes it as "bacterial SSU rRNA". It matches the Rfam family "Bacterial small subunit ribosomal RNA", at positions 54 to 836 of the family's 1533-position model. Lineage: Bacteria; Pseudomonadati; Myxococcota; Myxococcia; Myxococcales; Myxococcaceae. The record is from RNAcentral.